This is a long non-coding RNA of Eriocheir sinensis (Chinese mitten crab), 655 nucleotides long. RefSeq lists it as uncharacterized. The record is from RefSeq and is a predicted model, not a curated record. The transcript has 3 exons. NCBI's taxonomy places the organism in Eukaryota, Metazoa, Arthropoda, Malacostraca, Decapoda, Varunidae.
UGUGUUAAUGUUUGCGGGUGUGUAUGUUGCAAUGUUUGUCAGCUGUGUUAAUGUUUGCGGGUGUGUAUGUUGCAAUGUUUGUCAGCUGUGUUAAUGUUUGCGGGUGUGUAUGUUGCAAUGUUUGUCAGCUGUGUUAAUGUUUGCGGGUGUGUAUGUUGCAAUGUUUGUCAGCUGUGUUAAUGUUUGCGGGUGUGUAUGUUGCAAUGUUUGUCAGCUGUGUUAAUGUUUGCGGGUGUGUAUGUUGCAAUGUUUGUCAGCUGUGUUAAUGUUUGCGGGUGUGUAUGUUGCAAUGUUUGUCAGCUGUGUUAAUGUUUGCGGGUGUGUAUGUUGCAAUGUUUGUCAGCUGUGUUAAUGUUUGCGGGUGUGUAUGUUGCAAUGUUUGUCAGCUGUGUUAAUGUUUGCGGGUGUGUAUGUUGCAAUGUUUGUCAGCUGUGUUAAUGUUUGCGGGUGUGUAUGUUGCAAUGUUUGUCAGCUGUGUUAAUGUUUGCGGGUGUGUAUGUUGCAAUGUUUGUCAGCUGUGUUAAUGUUUGCGGGUGUGUAUGUUGCAAUGUUUGUCAGCUGUGUUAAUGUUUGCGGGUGUGUAUGUUGCAAUGUUUGUCAGCUGUGUUAAUGUUUGCGGGUGUGUAUGUUGCAAUGUUUGUCAGCUGUGUUAAUG